Molecule: ribosomal RNA, 1520 nt
Filed under: metagenome
Description: bacterial SSU rRNA
Rfam family: Bacterial small subunit ribosomal RNA
Source: RNAcentral
AGGGUUUGAUCCUGGCUCAGAACGAACGCUGGCGGCGUGGAUUAGGCAUGCAAGUCGAGCGAGGACAGGGGCUACGGCCCCUGAGUCGAGCGGCGAAAGGGUGAGUAAUGCAUAGGCAAUCUACCCGAGAAUUCGGGAUAACCACUGGAAACGGUGACUAAUACCGGAUGGCCCUGGUUGUUGGCAUCAUCGACCAGGUAAAGGGGGGGAUCUUCGGACCUCUCGUUCUCGGAGGAGCCUAUGUCCUAUCAGCUAGUUGGUGGGGUAACGGCCCACCAAGGCGAUGACGGGUAGCCGGGCUGAGAGGUUGACCGGCCACACUGGGACUGAGACACUGCCCAGACUCCUACGGGAGGCUGCAGUCGAGAAUCAUCCGCAAUGGGCGAAAGCCUGACGGUGCGACGCCGCGUGGAGGACGAAGGCCUUCGGGUUGUAAACUCCUGUCACGUGAUGAGAAAUGCAAAGCUCUAGCAUAGCUUUGUUUGACAACUCAUGAGAGGAAGUCACGGCUAACUCUGUGCCAGCAGCCGCGGUAAUACAGAGGUGGCAAGCGUUGUUCGGAAUCACUGGGCAUAAAGGGCGCGUAGGCGGUUGGUCAAGUCGGUUGUGAAAGCCCUCGGCUCAACCGAGGAACUGCAUCCGAUACUGGCUGGCUAGAGUAUGGUAGGGGAGAGUGGAACUCCUGGUGGAGCGGUGAAAUGCGUAGAUAUCAGGAGGAACGCCGGUGGCAAAAGCGACUCUCUGGACCACAACUGACGCUGAGGCGCGAAAGCUAGGGGAGCGAACGGGAUUAGAUACCCCGGUAGUCCUAGCCCUAAACGAUGGGCACUAGGUAGUGGGAGGUCCGAUCUUCUCACUGCCGGAGCAAAUGUGUUAAGUGCCCCGCCUGGGGAGUACAGUCGCAAGGCCGAAACUCAAAGGAAUUGACGGGGGCUCACACAAGCGGUGGAGGAUGUUGCUUAAUUCGAAGCAACGCGAAGAACCUUACCUGGGCUUGACAUGCUCGUGGUACGGACCCGAAAGGGCGAGGACCAGUUUACUGGAGCGAGCACAGGUGUUGCAUGGCUGUCGUCAGCUCGUGGCCCUCGUGAGAUGUUGGGUUAAGUCCCGUAACGAGCGAAACCCUUGCCGUUAGUUGCCAGCGGGUAAUGCCGGGGACUCUAGCGGGACUGCCGGUGUCAAACCGGAGGAAGGUGGGGACGACGUCAAGUCAUCAUGGCCCUUACGCCCAGGGCUGCAAACGUCCUACAAUGGUCGGUACAAAGGGAUGCAAGACCGCAAGGUGGAGCGAAUCCCACAAAGCCGGCCCCAGUUCGGAUUGUGGGCUGCAAUUCGCCCGCAUGAAGCCGGAAUCGCUAGUAAUCGCGGAUCAGCACGCCGCGGUGAAUAUGUUCCUGAGCCUUGUACACACCGCCCGUCAAGCCACGGGAAUCGGUAGCACCCGAAGUCGUUUGCCUAACCCUUCGGGGAGGGCGGCGCCGACGGUGAGAUCGAUGACUGGGACUAAGUCGAACAAGGUA